Molecule: long non-coding RNA, 1154 nt
Filed under: Marmota monax (woodchuck)
Lineage: Eukaryota; Metazoa; Chordata; Mammalia; Rodentia; Sciuridae
Source: RNAcentral
GCUCAGAAUGCCCAGGAACACUUUGUAUCCUUGUCUUGGAGUCCUAGAGUGAGGACAUCUCCCCGUAUCCUCCCCCAGAGGAGUAGUUAAACACAAGGCCCUCCUGGAUGCAUGGAUGACCAUUGGCUGUGCAGAGAAUGGCUUGAUAAGUGUCAUGGAGACGGGAACCUUAAAAAUGCCAACAUCAAAGAUUCUAGUUUGCUUCUUCCAGGGAAUUCUUCACGGUCAUAUGAUAGGAAUUAGCUUGUCUUGUGCUUGUUUCUGACAUUUCUGCUCCUCUCUGACUCUGACUCCUUGUUUCUCUGUGUUUAUCCUUUAACCCUUUUUCCUCCCUCCUCCAUAUUACCUCCCCUUCCCAACAAGGCCCUGGCUCAGUACAGGGACAGCUGGCUUCUGUUGAUGGCUUCCCAGGCCCAGCUGGUGGGGGUGGGAGUCUGGGUGGGACCUUGACUCCACCACCAAGUAUCCUAGACAGGCUUCUCCAUCCCGGCCCUUGGGAGAGCCCUACCUGGCCAUGAUGGGCCUUUCUGCCCCCUGCCCUGGAGCCUGCAAAGCUCCUGCUUCUCUGACCCACCACGAGGGACAGUGAGGCAGAAAGUGCUGAUCAAGGGUCAGAGUUCGAGCCUCAGACUGUUGAGCCUUUUAAACUCAAACAUCAGCUCUCAUCCUCAAAGCCUGAACUGUGCUGAGGCCCAAGCCAGAGCCCUAAGCCCACCUGGCACACGGAAGGGGCGGGAGCCCCCAUUUCUGGCUGCUCAUGGACCAUUACCUGGUCACUUUGCAAAGAUAGCCUUCUGGGGGAAGACAAGUCACUCAGUUAUUACCACCAAGGGGACAGCAAUGAAUUGGCACAGUUCCUGUCAAUCUUUCCACACCCUCAAGCCCUAUGUUGCCCUGAUCCCUGGAUUGCUGGAGCUUCAAGGGCUGGGCCCGUGGACCUCUGGGGAGCCUGCUAAGAUGGUGUAAGCACCUUGGGCCUGGUUCUGGCUUUUAGGAAAGAACCUCACCCAGAGUCUAAGGUAGAAGGUGCUGAGGAACCUGGAGGCCUGACCCGGCCCUUUCCCAUACAAGGGGUAUGUGUUGGUAAUACAUGUGGGUGCCAGGUUUUUGAGGCACAUUCAAUAAUCCUCCGUGAGGCUUCCCCCAGUUCCUAC